GAAGCCGGAAUCGCUAGUAAUCGCGGAUCAGAAUGCCGCGGUGAAUACGUUCCCGGGUCUUGUACACACCGCCCGUCACACCAUGGGAGUCAGUAACGCCCGAAGUCAGUGACCCAACCUGAAAGGGAGGGAGCUGCCGAAGGCGGGACGGAUAACUGGGGUGAAGUCGUAACAAGGUAUC
This 181-nucleotide ribosomal RNA is filed under the name uncultured bacterium. RNAcentral's name for it is "partial 16S ribosomal RNA". It matches the Rfam family "Bacterial small subunit ribosomal RNA", at positions 1322 to 1500 of the family's 1533-position model. The record is from RNAcentral.